Molecule: ribosomal RNA, 253 nt
Filed under: uncultured Staphylococcus sp.
Lineage: Bacteria; Bacillati; Bacillota; Bacilli; Caryophanales; Staphylococcaceae
Description: partial 16S ribosomal RNA
Rfam family: Bacterial small subunit ribosomal RNA
Source: RNAcentral
AGUAACACGUGGAUAACCUACCUAUAAGACUGGGAUAACUUCGGGAAACCGGAGCUAAUACCGGAUAAUAUUUUGAACCGCAUGGUUCAAAAGUGAAAGACGGUCUUGCUGUCACUUAUAGAUGGAUCCGCGCUGCAUUAGCUAGUUGGUAAGGUAACGGCUUACCAAGGCAACGAUGCAUAGCCGACAUGAGAGGGUGAUCGGCCACACUGGAACUGAGACACGGUCCAGACUCCUACGGGAGGCAGCAGCC